This 254-nucleotide ribosomal RNA is filed under the name uncultured bacterium. Its description in RNAcentral is "partial 16S ribosomal RNA". It matches the Rfam family "Bacterial small subunit ribosomal RNA", at positions 524 to 776 of the family's 1533-position model. The record is from RNAcentral.
UACGUAGGGUGCGAGCGUUAAUCGGAAUUACUGGGCGUAAAGCGUGCGCAGGCGGUUUUGUAAGCCAGAUGUGAAAUCCCCGGGCUUAACCUGGGAAUGGCAUUUGGGACUGCAAGGCUGGAGUGCGGCAGAGGAGACUGGAAUUCCUGGUGUAGCAGUGAAAUGCGUAGAUAUCAGGAGGAAUACCGAUGGCGAAAGGCAGGUCUCUGGGCUGACACUGACGCUCAUGCACGAAAGCGUGGGGAGCAAACAGG